This is an unclassified non-coding RNA of Aotus nancymaae (Ma's night monkey), 299 nucleotides long. It matches the Rfam family "Metazoan signal recognition particle RNA". Rfam says of the family: The signal recognition particle (SRP) is a universally conserved ribonucleoprotein. The record is from Ensembl. NCBI's taxonomy places the organism in Eukaryota, Metazoa, Chordata, Mammalia, Primates, Aotidae.
GCCGGGUGUGGUGGCAUGUGCCUGUAGUCCCAGCUACUCGGGAGGCUGAAGUGGGAGGAUCACUUGAGCCCAGGAAUUCUGGGCUGUAGUGUGCUAUGCUGAUCGAGUGUGCACACUAAGUUCAGCAUCAAUAUGGUGACCUCCCGGGAGCGGGGGACCACCAGGUUGUCUAAGGAGGGGUGAACCGGCCUUGGUCAGAAACAGAGCAGGUCAAACCUCCUGUACUGAUCAGUAGUGGGAUCGUGUCUGUGAAUAGCCACUGCACUCCAGCUUGGGCAACAUAUCGAGACCCUGUCUCU